Molecule: microRNA, 23 nt
Filed under: Ixodes ricinus (castor bean tick)
Lineage: Eukaryota; Metazoa; Arthropoda; Arachnida; Ixodida; Ixodidae
Description: iri-miR-X4-3p
Source: RNAcentral
GACGUUGGGACGCUGUUGCCUGA